Molecule: non-coding RNA, 507 nt
Organism: Pelobates cultripes (western spadefoot toad)
Lineage: Eukaryota; Metazoa; Chordata; Amphibia; Anura; Pelobatidae
Source: the annotation of a GenBank genome assembly
UUUUUUUACUUUUCUUUCUAAAAACACCUGGGUAACACAACUGGGUAAUAGCUAGAUCUUGUACUGUUAGGGGGUACAGGAGGACUGGGUUGGGAACCGGUGUUCUAGCUGAUACCAUUAAACCUGCAGAACAAUGCAUUGGCCACUGGCCAUCUAUAAACAAGAACAUUGGUCACGUUGCCCCCUCUGUCAUUCCAACAUGUUUGUUUUGAAACUUAAUGUAGCAUGUAAAAACAUAAAGAUAUACAAAACUAAACAAACAAAAUAAAACACACCUAACACACCAAAAAUAUUGAUGGCCAAAACUGCUCCUAUAUUGGCUUGCAAUGACAACAAAAAAAAUGUGAUGGUAUGUUACAACAAAUCUUAUAUUAUAUAAGAUAUUGAUAUAUGAAGACAGUGUUUCUUUAGAUUACUACCAUUACACAAACAUUGAAAAUAGUUUAUAGUUUGUGUUCAUAUAUUUAUUUUUUUAUACAAGAUUUACCAAAUUACAUCACGCCCCAG